CCUACGGGCGGCAGCAGUGGGGAAUAUUGCACAAUGGGGGAAACCCUGAUGCAGCGACGCCGCGUGAGUGAAGAAGUAAUUCGGUAUGUAAAGCUCUAUCAGCAGGGAAGAAAAUGACGGUACCUGAGUAAGAAGCCCCGGCUAACUACGUGCCAGCAGCCGCGGUAAUACGUAGGGGGCAAGCGUUAUCCGGAUUUACUGGGUGUAAAGGGAGCGUAGACGGCAGUGCAAGUCUGGAGUGAAAGGCGGGGGCUCAACCCCCGGACUGCUCUGGAUACUGUACGGCUGGAGUGCAGGAGAGGUAAGUGGAAUUCCUGGUGUAGCGGUGAAAUGCGUAGAUAUUAGGAGGAACACCAGUGGCGAAGGCGGCUUACUGGACUGUAACUGACGUUGAGGCUCGAAAGCGUGGGGAGCAAACAGGAUUAGAUACCCGAGUAGUC
RNAcentral lists this ribosomal RNA (440 nucleotides) under uncultured bacterium. Its description in RNAcentral is "partial 16S ribosomal RNA". It matches the Rfam family "Bacterial small subunit ribosomal RNA", at positions 338 to 795 of the family's 1533-position model. The record is from RNAcentral.